Long non-coding RNA from Cygnus atratus (black swan), 1845 nucleotides. RefSeq lists it as uncharacterized. The transcript has 3 exons. The record is from RefSeq and is a predicted model, not a curated record. Lineage: Eukaryota; Metazoa; Chordata; Aves; Anseriformes; Anatidae.
UGAAGGCAGAAUGAGAACCAGUUAUGCUCUCUGAGUGCACCUAAAAUGGCAGAAUAUGAAGGGAGGAAUACGGGUGCCUGGUGUUGGACAUUAUCGUCCAAAACUCAACCUACAGGUAAGAAUUGAGAGCAUGCUCCAGUCCUCUGAGCCUCCACUUUUCACAUUGGUUAAGCAAUGAAAAAACAUCAGCUGCAGAACCAUCAGAAAAUUAUUCCUACGACCACAACUGGUCAGAGAGAUAGACAGUAGCUUUGUGGUCAGGUGACUUACGGCUGUGCAUGCAUGAACACAUCUCAUGAACACCAGCAGCUAGCUGAAUACAGCAGCCCUACAGGCCUCCUGUCUCCACCAAACAAUGUACCCCUUUAAGGAGCCAGCUAAAACAGAGAAAGGUGUGCCCCAGAAAGUACUGUCACAGUGUAUCAGCUCUGCAGGAUCACUCCAUUCACAAAUUCAUUUUCAUACUCACAAACUAGGGCUUUCUUGGUCAUUUUGUAGAGGAAGAGAGCUAUGGUGUUCACAAAGAGUAUUCUUCUCCCACCUGCUUGUGGGUUGCUCAGCUAAAUGGAAAAAAAUAAACACCUUGGACUGUUCACAUUUUGUUCCUAUCUCCAGCAGUGCCCUGUCACAACCUUAAAAACACUUGUCUUUUUAUUUAUAGAAAUACCAAAGCCUGCGUUUUAAUGCAAGUCAACUGAAUUAUAAAAAUUACAAUCAGAAACAAUAUCAAGAAGCCAAAUUUAAAAAUAAAAAAAUGCAUUUUUCAGCUCCCAUUCUCUAUUCUUUCGCUACUUCCACUGACAGAGUCAUUCAAGGCACACAAAAGCUGCAUUUUUAGUAUGAGAAAAAAAAUCUGAGCAUUUGGGGCCUUUUUUAAAGGAAAUAAAGUAGCAAGAAAAGAAAUCUUUGGAGGCCAUGUGAGGAGGUAUAAAGCAUUAUGUCAAGAACAGAGCUGGGUGUCUGAUGCUCUUGCUUGUCCCUCCCUCUUCUGGCUGGGGCCACUGGACUCAAAGUAGAUAGGGGAGGAGCUGGAGGCCCAGCCAGACACAAUGACUGAGUUAGAAAUAAUCCUCAGGGCAAACCCUAAGCAUGGUGGCUAGGCACAGCUCAAACCCGUGGGGCUGGCACUAAAGCUCUGCCAUCAUGGAGUUCAUUGGGAGGUGCUUGUGUCCUGCACCUCACUGCCCUGCACAGGGCUGUGUGAUGGUCACUGGUGUCUGGUGGUUGCCUCAGCCCUUGGCAGCCAUCUCAAGACCAACAGUGGCCAUCUCAAGCCUGGCGGUCACCACAGAUCUGCAGUCACCAUUAGUGCCUGGUGGUGAUCACAGCUCUGAGGCCGUUUCAGCCUGGCAGCGGCCGACACAAUCCCAGUGGCGACUUCAAGGCCAGUGCCUGCCACUGCUCCAAAAAACCUCAGCCUGCUCUACAAAAUCUCAAGCCCACAGACAGUCGUGUACGCACAAUACCUGUUUGAGGCACCACAGAGAAUGAAGCCACAGACAAAUGUGAUCAGAACUGCUGAAACUUUGAAACUGCUAGCACUGGGCGCCAGAGCUCAAUGCAUCGAAACGCUCAGAUAAAGAGAUCAGAUCAAAAUGUAUGUGGAAAAAUACCAGGACUGCCAGGCUUUUGAAUUCAAUAACCAAUUCUGCUGCAUGAAUUUAGGAACACAUUUUUUGUUCCCACAACUUGCUUCAAGCAACUUCUUCUUCCCUAAGUGCUGACUGAACCAAUUAUCAAGAGUGUCACAAGAAUGGAGAAAAAUAUUCUAUUACCAAAGACCAUGCAGCUUUGCAAUGACCAGAAAAAAGGCUGGUGGGAGCAACAAUCCAAGAUCCAUCCCCA